GUGGAUGUAGCUCAAUGUAGAGCACAGCGAUGGUAUCGCUGGGUUGUGGGUUCGAGUCCCGCCAUCCGCU
Molecule: transfer RNA, 70 nt
Filed under: Patescibacteria group bacterium
Lineage: Bacteria
Also listed under: 1 other name
Description: tRNA-Thr
Rfam family: tRNA
About the family: Transfer RNA (tRNA) molecules are approximately 80 nucleotides in length.
Source: RNAcentral